This 2381-nucleotide long non-coding RNA is filed under the name Sus scrofa (pig). RNAcentral describes it as "lncRNA (ENSSSCG00025022819.1)". The record is from RNAcentral. Lineage: Eukaryota; Metazoa; Chordata; Mammalia; Artiodactyla; Suidae.
GAGGCCAAUUUUUUAGUAUCAGCUAAUAAGUAGUACAAAUACUUCACUGUAAAGUACUUCUUACUAGGGACAUAAAUUAUCUCUUUUAUCUGGUUGUUCCUAUUUUGAGAAUAUAAAACACUUCAAAUAAAUCUAGUCAUUUAUGAAGAUUCAGAGAACUGGGAAUUUAUCUAAUUGUCCUUCCUGUUAUGUCAAUCCCAAUUUCCCUGUUUUCAUCAACUUGAAGACCCCCUUGGUUGUAAGAGCAUUUUGAUUUUGACUUUUUAAAAAACUGGCUACUUCAUUUGUUAUAUAUAGAGAGGGCCCAGAAGGGAGAGCUAAAAUUAAAUGAGAUAAUUCUGCUUCUUCAUACCUUCUCAGUUUAAUAUAGAAUGGAAAAGAAAUGUAGGCAAACCAUCUGAGAACCAAUAGUAUAGUUCAGAUAUCAAAUCAUAGCAUUCAUUCAGUGCAGUUCAGAUACCUAUGACAUUCUAUGUUGAAUGAUAAUUGUUAACAGUAGAAAUUUGUUUUAAAAAUGUAGUUUUCUUAUGUUAGGUACACAGCCAGUGUUCUGUUCCUCAAAUAAAUUCUGAUUCUAGGAGUUCCCCUUGUGGCUCAGUGGGCUAAGAACCCGACACAGUGUCUGUGAGGAUGUGGGUUUGAUCACUGGCCUCUUUCAGUGGGUUAAGGAUCCAGUGUUGCUGUGAGCUGUGGUGUAGGUAGCACAUGUGGCUCAGAUCUGGUUUUUCUGUGGCUGUGGCAUAGGCCAGCAGCUGCAACUCCAAUUUGACCCCUAGCCUGGGAAUUUCCAUGUGCUGUGGGUACAGCCCUAAAAAGAUGAAGAAACAAAUUCUGAUUCUAAUUGCUAGUUAUUUACAGUAAUCAGAGAAGAUGAUGGGAAAGCCGUGCCUUCCAAUGUUAUUUUAAAAUUAAAAAAAGUUUUUUGGCUGCACACACGGCAUGUGGAGGUUCCAGGGCCAGGGAUCAGAUCCACACCACAGCAGUGACAACACCAGAUCCCUAACCCACUGAGCCACCAGGGAAUUCCAGUAUCUGCCAAUAUUUAGACAUAAGACUUAACAUGGAUCUUUCCUAAGUAUAUGCGAUUCAUUGUGGCAAGUACCUGUAGGAUCUCCUUAUGAUCCUUAUAUUUAUAAAUUUUUUCUAGGAUGGAUUUUAAGAGCAGAGUUUUAGCAAGUGUUCAGUUUCUAAGAAGUUUUAAGAAUGUUCUUUACAUUGAAUAAAGUGAUGGGAAGAUCCUCUCCUGUCUUUGAAGAUGGAAAGGAGUUGCUGCCUGUUUCAUAUAGGGCAGUUAGAAAGAAGGGGCUUACUGUGGGUGAAGGGAGAGCUGUUUCAAGAAGUAAGAUUUUGGACUUAAGUGUUAUUUUUUUAAGUAUGUUUUAUUGUCAGCCCUGUUUCAUGUUUCUUUCCUUUUUUUUUAGAGAUAGUAUAUUUUAUUUUAUGCUUCUAAAAAUUUUUACUAUAGUUGAUUUAAAGUGUUCUGUUAGUUUCUGCUGUACAGCAGAGUGACCCAGUUAUUUUUAUAUAUAUAUAUAUAUAUAUACACAUAUAUACACACCCACACACAUUCAUUUUCUCACAUUAUCCUCCAUCAUGUUCUAUCACAAGAGAUUAGAGUUCCUGUGCUAUACAGCAGGAUCUCAUUACUUGUAUUUCUCUGUUUGCCUUAAUUCUAAAGAUCGCUACCAGGGCAAUCCAAGAUCUUCGAAUCAGUUCAGAAAGCCUGAGGUUUAAGAGGAGAUGAUAAAGAUGAAAGAAGGACUGGAAGGAGAUUCAGAGCUAACCAGUUUUCCUACUUCUUAUUUCAGUUCAGUAAAGAUCUCUCUGCUUGUGCUUUAUAUUGCUGUCCUUAUGAAAUGGUACUUUUCAGUUUAGGAAAAAUGUUUUGUUUCCUUAUUCCAUCUGAUCUAGAAGAGCAAGUUUUAGAUCUUCUCCCUGCUUUCAUUUUCUUCAAGAAAACUAGGGGUGACUGAGAUAUGGUGGCAGUUUGCCUGACCCUCCCCUGGAGUGACAUAGUAGAGAACCUAGGCUCAGAUAAUGGCUUUAAAGAAAUACUUACAAAGCCUUGAGAUGUGAGGCCUACUCUCUAGGUUUGAGAGCUACACAUUUUAGCAUGACCGUGGAUUGACUGGGCUGGAGCUAUAAUGGCUAAUUAUGCCUUGCCCAGGUUUCAGAAAUAGCAGAGAGGAAAGUGGAGACAUUUUUAAGAAAUUCAUGUUUUCUAUUUACGUGUUCUACUUACAUAUAUAUGUCCACUAUAGUAUGGCCUUUUCACCAUCAUAUUCUUCUUAAGUAUGAAUAUUUAGCAAUAUUUAUAUGCUAACCCCCUUUUUUAGAAGAAUACAUUUGGUCAUUGUAGAAAACUCAGACAAUUAACACAC